AACGAACGCUGGCGGCAUGCCUAACACAUGCAAGUCGAACGAGACCUUCGGGUCUAGUGGCGCACAGGUGCGUAACGCGUGGGAACCUGCCCUUAGGUUCGGAAUAACUCCCCGAAAGGGGUGCUAAUACCGGAUAGGAGCUCCUGCUGCAUGGUGGGGGUUGGAAAGUUUCGGCGGAUGGGGAUGGACUCGCGGCUUAUCAUCUUGGUGGUGGGGUAGUGGCUUACCAAGGCUUUGACGGGUAGCCGGCCUGAGAGGGUGACCGGCCACAUUGGGACUGAGAUACGGCCCAGACUCCUACGGGAGGCAGCAGUGGGGAAUAUUGCACAAUGGGCGGAAGCCUGAUGCAGCAACGCCGCGUGCGGGAUGACGGCCUUCGGGUUGUAAACCGCUUUCGCCUGUGACGAAGCGUGAGUGACGGUAAUGGGUAAAGAAGCACCGGCUAACUACGUG
Molecule: ribosomal RNA, 453 nt
Filed under: uncultured bacterium
Lineage: Bacteria
Description: partial 16S ribosomal RNA
Rfam family: Bacterial small subunit ribosomal RNA
Source: RNAcentral